GUUAAAGCAAACAACAAUCCCAUUAUUAAAGGUAAAGGGGCAUUUGUCUUGUGCCUUGCUUUUCUCUCUUUUUCUCUCUGAUUAUCAUUUUUUCUUCUCUUUCUUCCUCAGUGGAUUCUGGGGGUAUUAAGGAUUUGUUUGAUAUGUUCCCCUAGCAGCAGAGAUUUUCUCUGGGUUUGGGGAAAUUUUCUCAUUUGAAGCGCGAUCUGAUACUUUCUAUGGGGUUUUUUGGUUGAAUUUCUUCAACCCAUCGUCUGGGUAAUUUUCAAUUUGUUUAUCGAGUUUUCAGAUUUUGGAGAUGGAAGAAGAGAAGGAUUCUGAGAAUCGUUUGACAUCAGCUGCUGCUUUCGUGGAAGGGGGGAUUCAAGAAGCUUGUGAUGAUGCUUGUAGCAUAUGCCUUGAGGAUUUUUGUGAAAGUGAUCCUUCUACGGUUACUGCUUGCAAACAUGAGUUUCACCUCCAAUGCAUCCUUGAGUGGUGCCAGAGAAGCUCUCAAUGCCCUAUGUGCUGGCAGUCUAUCAGCCUCAAGGACCCCACCAGUCAAGAGCUGUUGGAGGCUGUUGAACGAGAGAGGAAUAUAAGGGCUACUCCAGUGAGAAAUACUGCUGUGUUUCAUCAUCCAGCUCUUGGGAAUUUUGAGUUGCAACAUCUACCUCUUGGUGUUAAUAAUUCCGAGCUUGAAGAGCGAAUAAUUCAACACCUGGCUGCAGCUGCUGCAAUGGGGAGGACACACCAUAUUGGUAGAAGAGAGGGAAGGAGUAGGUCAUCAUCUCAUGGACGUCCUCACUUCUUGGUUUUCUCCACUCAUCCUGGUGGACCUCCCGAGCAUGUCUCAGCCUCUGGAGUACACACUGAGCCAGCCGGUAUUACCGUUGCUAGCCCAUCUAGCCCACUAACACCUCGUGGGGAUGAACCAUCACAUCAUAUUGCACAGUUUCCUUCUAUUCAGACAGAUCAUGUUUCUCGUUCAGCAUCUGGAUCUAACUUUUCAGCCAGUCGACGAGGAGCUUCUUCUGGUGUUCGAAUCUCCACUAGUGAUUCUCCAUCUCCAAAUCUGGAUAGAGCUGGUCCAUCUGAAUUUCAGUCAUUCUCGGAAUCUCUAAAAUCAAGACUCAAUGCAGUGUCCACAAGGUACAAAGAAUCGAUUUCAAAGAGUACAAGAGGGUGGAAGGAGCGGCUAUUCUCUCGCAACACUUCCAUGUCAGAACUUGGUUCUGAAGUUCGAAGAGAAGUAAAUGCAGGAAUUGCCAGUGUAUCACGUAUGAUGCAACGCCUUGAAACUAGAGAGGAUGGAGUUACAAAUCAAGGUUCUAAUGAGCAGGGUGGCCACAAUAGAAGAGAGAGCAACCCAGAGAACUCUUUAAACGACAGCAGUGCUCCAACUUCUUGUGCUGCAACAUCUGCUGAGCGUUAAAUCAUUAAUAUUAAUUUUGGCAAAUGCAUCUGACAUCAGCAUCUUAUUUCUGAAGGUGAACUAUAUAAAUAUAUAUUCUCCAGACUUGAUAUGCUGAGGAACAGAUGCCCGUCAGCCUUUGCAAACAAAAAAGGGUUAAAGAAUUUCAUGUGUAGAGAGUAAUGUUGAUUGUUGUCUGAACUGAUAAAAAAAAAAAAAAAACCCAAUAAGGAAGAAAGAAGAAGGGGAGAGGGAAUUUGGGAGAAAAGCUUCCCAUCUGGACAUGUUGUAUGUAACUUUUUCUUUACAUAAAAAAAAAAAUACAGUAUUUGAUGCAAAAACACAUGUUAGAAAACUAUGUCUGGAUGGGUUAGUCUUUUGGAAUUUGAGUUUCUUUGCAAUGUUCAUAUAAAAAGUGUCAAAACGAACACUCAUUUCUUUGAUGAGUUUUAAUAUUCUUUACUAUUUUCUUCUUCUACCCAUUUUUGUUAUUGCUAUCAUUUGGUCAAAAAUUGGUAUCUUACCAUUUA
RNA transcript from Cucumis melo (muskmelon), 1923 nucleotides. It is a transcript of the gene named E3 ubiquitin-protein ligase RHF2A-like, with no coding region annotated. The transcript is spliced from 9 exons. The record is from RefSeq and is a predicted model, not a curated record. NCBI's taxonomy places the organism in Eukaryota, Viridiplantae, Streptophyta, Magnoliopsida, Cucurbitales, Cucurbitaceae.